CUUUCACGGGUUUACUGGGGUGUUGUUCUGCCCCACAUGCCAUUGACACCCUAAAAAAAUAAGUAAUUUUUUGUUCCAUUUGACUAGUCAGCCUAAUAAUACAAAUAUCACCCCUACUAGAUAUUUUCUAAUUAUUACUUCUUCUCCCUACCUGUUUUUUGUAUUAAAGCAAUGAGAUUUGUUUCAGGGAACACUGGCUCUGACCUGAGACAGAAUACUACAGAAUGGGUCAGGUUAGAAGAGAUCACCGUAGAUCGUCUGGUCCAACCUCCCUGUUCAAGCAGGGUUGUUCUGGAUCACAUUGCACAGGAUUGCAUCCAGACAGUUCUUGAACAUCUCCAGUGAGAGAUGUUCACAGCUUCUCUGGGUAAUCUGUUCCAGAUUAAAUGAAACUACUUUAGCUAACAAAUUUCUUUUCCUGCCCCCAUGUAUUUCCCUGCUCUGAGCAAGCCAAGAAGAAAACCGGCUCCUUCUCCUCUUCCUGCCAUAGCCCCUCCUUAUGCUGCAGCUUCCUGUGAAUCCUGGGGAUUUAGUGUGUUGCUUGCCAUCAGGCAACCUGCACAGCAUUUGCCAGCAUUAGCUUCAGACAGGUGAAGUCACUUUAAAUUUCUGGUGGUUCUUUGGCAGCAUCAUGACACUGCCAUACCUACACCCCUCCAUGGUCCUAGCAGAUGUCCUGGACACAGCUGCUUCCCCAGAAAUAUCAAAUGCAGGAGGAGAUAGUGUGCUUUCCAUGACCCACCCAGACAUCAGGAGACACCUACUUGCAACAGAAUGUGCAAAGGCACAGCAAUUACCAUUAUUUUUGGUGCUAGUUGAGUCAGAAAACAUACUACUAACUUUCAGAACUGCAGCUGAAGUGAGAGCUCAUUAAAUGGAACCACUAAUGGCAGUAGCUUGAGGGACAGGACUGUGCAAGCAUCCCAGCACUGCCCUUCUGGAGCAUCGGGCUCUGCCUUACAGCAAACCCCAAAAACUCCUGGGGCUUCUUUGGGGCCAGGACACUGGCAGCACACUAGUGCCUGCCUGGCAAGUCCAAAUGGGAUGGAGAACUCAUCUGAGAUGUAAUUUUUCAUACUUAGACUAAGCCUGGCUAGCAAUCCUUGUCAAAGCUGAAACAGGCAUAUCUGAGACUGCAAACGAUGGAGUUUUCCCUGCAUGUGCAUGUUUAGAAAAUCUGCUGCAACUGAUCUCUAAAUGCUGGGCAAGUACACUGGGAUGGGUACAGAGCGAGCAUGCAGCCCUAAGACCAUUGUUGCACACAGGAGAGUAGCAGGGGGAUCUUAGGCCCAAAGGAUGGGGACUGCUCACUUGUGUGAAGGGAACAAGGUCAUAUAAGCAGAUCAGCUUUGAUACAGCAUGAAAUCCCUCCUCAUCCUGCUUUAACCAAAAUGUAGAUGGGCUUCAGUUCCUAUGCUUCAUGAUGAGGAAAACAACUUUCCAAAUACACCCCUUUAUCUCUUUAAAAAACCACCACCAACAACAAAAUCCCCUUUUUUCAAACAGCUUUUAGCUAUUCACUAGCAAACAGAGAGUUAAAAAACCCUGGGAGCAUGACAGGGAAGAGCUGUACAUCCUCUCUUCAGUGGUUUGGGCAGGAAGUAUAAUAGAAGGCUCAAUAAUUUCUUUGAAAAAAUAUGACAGGAAACUUUCAUUUUCAUAUCCCAUUCACAGAUAAUGAAAAUGUACCAAAGAGAAGGAAAAUCUGACAGCAUUAAUGAGAGGACAUUCUUGAAAAUUGGAAACAAUGGGAAGGAAUGGGCAGAGAGACAGAAAUAAUUAUCAUAGCAGCAGUGUUUGCUGCACUGUUAUUAAGGUCAACAAUUGCAAUAUUGUAACUGCACCAUGGAGAGCCAGCACACCAGGAAGGAUUCAGUCCAGCAGCUCAGAGAGCAGCCCAACCACCUAAAAAUGAGUCUUUCUGCCACAGUAAAAGCCAAUACUAAGAAACACAGCAUACUGGAAGUUGCUAGAGAAGACUGCUUUUCAAAGAGUUGGGUUUUAAGCUAGCAAUCCUUGAGCUACCUUGCACAGCACCAGGUUUUUGCAAAAAAACAGCUUCUCUGGUUGCUUGUCAGUGAGAACCCUUUGCACUAGCCGUGAUUUGGAUCUUUGAUGCUUCUUCAAGCAAGUAGCAGUUCCGAUGCUAUGCCUUGGGUGCAGGAAGACUGGAGCUUCAUCCCAAACUCUGAAUGACUUUGUCAUUUUACAUUUUUCUAUGCUCUGGUUUUCUUUCUCAUAGUUGGGAGAGGAAAGGAAAAGACCUCUAAGCAGGCUCUGGGCUUUGGGCUGAGGCUUUCUGUGUGCCUUGGGGAAGCUCCAGCAAGUAUCUUCCCACAGGUUAACAGCAGCAGGAGGGGGACCCAUGAAGAGCUCUGCCAUAGCCCUGCAGCACUGCAUGACCACAAGCAAGUCAUCUCCCUCCCAUGCUUUCCUUCCAAAAUGUCACCAGGCUGGACCCUGUUUGUCCUGCUGCGUCAGUGCUUCACCCAACACCUCGUCUCAGCAGAAAGGGGUGUGGUCCUCAUUAGCAUAGGUGAGUUAGUUGCUUUUAGAUAUGUGGCUUUUGGUCAACAUCACGAUUGCAUCUACUUGGCACCUGCACUGGGAAGCACUGGAGCUGAUGCUGCUGAUCUCUACAACCUCUGCCUGCAGGUCUGGGCAGGAGGAGGAGGUGAGCUCAUGUCUGAGGAGACUGACCUGUCCCAGCAGUGAUGGCAUCUGAGGGGCAGAGUCCUCUCCUCCUCCAAAGCCACAGGAACAAGGGAGAACAUCUCUCAUUUGGUAACAACUCAACUACUCUGGAGUCAACCAUGAAGGUUGCAUGGAUGUGGGGUGAAGGGGAAGGCCUUGUUCACAAGAAUGAACAGAGGCAAGUCACAAACUACAACGCUUCUAUGCACGUGUUGUCCAAGACCUGGCAGCCAUGAAUGCUCCUGAAUAGAUGUGGAGCCAUAAUGAAUGCCUCGUGAAUGAGUAGAGAAAGAGGGGACAAGAUUAUUUAUUAAAAUAAACAACAACAACAAAAAAACCAUAACCAAAACAAAAAAAAAACAACCAACCAAAAAAAAAAUUUUUGAAAAAAACCAACCAAACAAACAAACCCCCCCCCCCAAAAAAACAAAACAAAACCAAAACAAACAAAAAAAACCCAAAGUGGGAUAUCAUGAUCAUGAACAAGCCAGGGGUGGGAAUGUGCAAUUUCUUAAACUGAUUUGAAGGACUCCAAUAUACCACAAAGACAAUGUUUUGGAAGUUAAAAUGUGACUUUCUUAGCAUCUCCUGAAACAGCAGUGUAGGACAAGACAUGAAGAAUAAUUUGUUCCAGAUUUCUCAGAAGAAAUUAUGGCAGCAUUUAACUCCCAGACAUCCCAGUCACAAACAGAAAUAAAAGCAGUUGCCGUUGUGUCUGCCUGCAGCAGAGGGGCUGCAUGGCUGGUGAGAUGUGAUGAAAGCUUCCCCAUGCCCCUACAGCAGCACCAGGGAAACAGUAACUUGCCACUCCCUAAGCAGGUCACUAUGGCAUGACACUUGUGUCACCCUGCCAUGCUGAAUUUUCUCCAAAACCUGUCCCAGCUUUGCAAAUUUAAUGGAUGCAGACUGAACACAGCUUAACACUACAUCUGCCACAUGCUCUGCACUCCUAACCCCACCAUCCCAUAAAAUCUCAGUAGAAAUGGCACCACGGCCCCAAAGGGUAAGAACAGUGCUGCUAUGGGAUUGACCCUGCUGUCAUGCCAAGACACAGUCAUGGGGUUAACUCACACCCCAAGGGCUCAAGGGCAGACUUAGAUCUUCCUCUGGGCAAUGUUCAUCACCUAAACUUAGUCCUCAAUUGGUUCCUGACCUACUUAAUACUACUGUGACUCAUGUGUUAGGGAGGUGAAUUGCUAUUUGCAAUUAAAUUGUAUUUGCAUUGAUAUUCCUAUCGUAAAGUCUGGGAGACUUGCAAGAAUAUUGAGUUUCAUCUCCCAGAUUCCCUUAUUGCUUCAGACUGAGGUGCAGGACUCUUCUAAAAAUAUGCAAAGUCCAGUAGUGGUGUUUCCUCUCUUACAACAAAACUUCUUUUUGAGUACAAAGUAGGAGGUUUUCAAAACUCUUCAAAAGGCUGAUAAUAGACUUCACUUUAUGUAUAUACACUUAAUAGGAAUGAUGACUAAAUGUGGUUAGGAGUGAAAUGUUACUCACUUUUAUUCUUUCUUUAACAGCUCCAUCCAAUUUUGUUUUUGCACCUAUGAAGUGUUAGGUCGGUUUGCCUCUGUACACCUGAAGAGCAUGGCCUGGAGUGGAGCACCUCUGUUUUCUGUCACGACAUUUAUUCUGCAUUCAUAUAUUUGCAGCAAAUAAGGAAAAAGAAUCAAAACCAACCCUGUGAUGGUUUUAUACUCUUCUCUGAUCAGAGAUGAGCAAGAGAAAACUGUUUCUCUUGAGAGAGAGAGGGGGAAGAAGGGGUUGAGCAGUUUCAAAACAAACUGGGCACAGCUGAUGUCAGAUUUUUGUCUUACAAUGGCAGCUAUUUGCUUUCCCAGCAAGCAGUAUAUGAAUCACUGGGCACUGCAUUGUUCCAAGAAUAGCAGAAGAUGCCACAUAUCUUAGGAGAGGAUAGAUUUUCUUACACCUUCUCAUUGGUUGGAAAC
Long non-coding RNA from Passer domesticus (house sparrow), 4637 nucleotides. RefSeq lists it as uncharacterized. NCBI's taxonomy places the organism in Eukaryota, Metazoa, Chordata, Aves, Passeriformes, Passeridae. The record is from RefSeq and is a predicted model, not a curated record. The transcript has 2 exons.